This is a long non-coding RNA of Oryzias melastigma (Indian medaka), 2320 nucleotides long. RefSeq lists it as uncharacterized. The record is from RefSeq and is a predicted model, not a curated record. NCBI's taxonomy places the organism in Eukaryota, Metazoa, Chordata, Actinopteri, Beloniformes, Adrianichthyidae. The transcript has 3 exons.
UACAUUGGUGUUGAGUAAUCAACUAUAACCACUAGGGGGCAGCAGUCAUUUAGUAGGAAAAAAUUAUUUGUUUUAGAUUUUAAUAAGAAUCUAUUUGUUUUUUCUUUGCUAGUAGGAAAUGGAAGUGAAGCUCCUCCCCUUAUUGUCUCACCUGCUGCAGCUCACCUGAGAACUCCUCUGCAGGUUCAACAGAAAAGAUCUCAAACGUUUGUUUUCAGUUAAAUCAACUUUAUAACUUCCUCUGGAGAAAUGUUCCUUUUUGAAAAGCGAGUCUAAAUAGAAAGUCUGUUAUCUUGUUUAUGCACGAAAGCCCUGUUAAAUUUAGCCAUUUAGGAUUUUCCAAAUUUGUAAAAAUAGUCUGUCAUCUUUUUCAGGUUUUCCCCAGAUUUUAAUAAAUGAGGAAGUUAGAAUAGAAACAGAUCAGAAGCUGCACGCCUGUGUUGAUGUGUAAAUUACUAAAUCAUAUCUGUGUAUAAAGUUGUGAUAGCUUCUUCCAGUGUUUGUACAAAAGAAGAAAAAAAAAAUGGUUCAAAUGCAGAUUUUAACUGAAGAAAACAGGAAGACCUCCUGACUUCUCUGAGCUCCACGGAUAAUUUGACUGCUCAACAAACUGCAGGUUCUUUAGAGGAGAAACUCCUCGUUCCUCUUUUCAAUCCCAGGUGAGUAUAAAUAACUUAAUACUCAGCUUUUUGUUGCUGCACUUCUCCAAACUAGUCUAAGCACAAACAAUGAUGGAAGAUGAUCUGGAGAUAUAAGCAGGGAAGCAGAUGGAGAUCUUUGGACCAGUGAUGUUGGUAAAAGGAUGCUGAGGUUGGAGAAACUAAGACAGAGGAUUGGAGGAAGACCACAGAAGACAUUCAUGGAUGUAGAGAAGGAGGACAUGAGGGUGGAGGAUAGAAUUGAACAGAUUAAGACAGAGGAUUCUAAAGUCAGGAAAGUAAACUCCGAUCAACUUUUCAUCUAUUUUCAGUGUAAUCAGUGAUCUUUUAAUUGUAAUUCUGCUAAUUUUAGACAAUCAAAACUAUUGGCGUGGAAGUAAGCCUCCACUGAUAUCCCAUCAUCUCUUUGUCUACACUCUUUCUUGCUAUCUUACAGCUCCUCACAACCCUACAGUAUCAGUUCUAUCCAUCCGUACAGGUCUGAUCCAGAUUCCAGCUCAGACCAGAAAAACAAUGUUUAUGAUCUAUCUGUCUCCAAGUUGAUCCAACAGAAUGAAGCACUAGCCCAUAUCAGUUGCUGUGUCACAACUGAGUUCUUUUAAACAUUUUUUUUAAUCUGCUCCCAAUUCCCAACAAUUUUAAAUAAUGAAUAUUUAGAAAUGCAACUUUCAUCUUAACACCAAAAACAUUAUUUUCAUCUAAGUGGAUAUUUAAACUGUUGUGAUUUAUUGAUGUUUUAGUUAUCUAACAUUUAUUCUCAGAAUUUGGAAUUUUUAUCUUUUAAAAAUGAAUUUGUGACUUUAUAUAACACUUCUCUUUUUGAUAUAGGCUAGUUCUACCCUUUAGUUCUUCUUCAUUUUAUUUCACUUUUAUGACUUAUCUUUUAUUUAUUUAUUUCCUUGGAGUUGUGUCAUUUUGUCUCUAUAGCUUAUUUUUUUUCUGAUUUCAUAAUUAUGACAUAUUUUAUUUGAACAUUGUUUUUUGUAGUAUCAGUAAGUUUUGUUGUUUAUUGUUCUGGGAAUUUGUAAAUUUGUUCGUUGUCAAUAAAGUUUGAUAACAAAAAGAUCGCAGUCGCUUCCCCGCUGUUUGAUAAGUGCCAAGAGAACAGCUUUAAUCAACGAGAAAAGGAUGGAGAAGUGGAGAAGAAGAGGUGAAGGAGAACCAGGAGGAGGUGAAGGAGAACCAGGAGGAAGUGAAGGAGAACCAGGAGGAGCAGAGACGGAGAACCAGGAGGAGGUGAAGGAGAACCAGGAGGAGCAGAGACGGAGAUCCAGGAGGAGGUGAAGGAGAACCAGAAGGAGCAGAGACUUAGAACCAGGAGGAGGUGAAGGAGAACCAGAAGGAGGUGACGGAUCGCCAAGAGGCCUCUGUGGAGCGCGCGGGAGUUUCAUGGAUUAUAUUCAUGACUCCAGGUGCGUUACCUCCGGACGCCGCCUCUCCCGCUCUGUUACGCCGGCGUCUCAGGAUGACCUCCAGCUCGCUGUCCUUCUUUCCUGGGGGGGACGGCCCUGACUCCUGGGAGCCUCGGCUGGGGCUCCUCUUCACCGUCUCCUGAGGAGAAGAUCCCAGAGUGAUUCAGAAGGAAAGACGAGGAUGCUGCAGUAAAUGGUGAGACUGUCAUCUUCAGCUGUAAGGAGGUAAAGUGAGCGAACACUCACCAG